AUGUGUGGAAUGGGUUGGUUUCAAAACCUGUGCUCUUAAUGAGACUAAGCCACUUAAAUUCAGGACUCUUAAAGCUGGUGUUUCUCUGUGAGUUAAGUGUCUAGUCUUCCAUUACAGCUAUGGUAGAGUGUGAUUCAGCUGAUGAGCUGCUAGUAAGGCCUCAUCAAGUGCUGAACCAGGUGCCAAAACAUAAGCACUUGGUGUGAUAUUAGCAGUGCCACUGGAUGAAUAGGUCUUUUUAAUUAAGCACAGACAUUGCUGUCAAACUUCAGGUGAGCUGCUCUGUAGGCCUUGAAGACAAUUUUCACAGGAGCUGCAAUUUGAAUAUCUAGCGUCACUUUAUUUACUUGAGGAAAAUCCUUCUGAUAUCCAGCUACUACUCCAAGGACUGCUGUAGGUUCUCUGUUGCAUCUGCAUCUGCUGCAUCUCUGCAGGUAUCUCAUAUACCAAGAACAUCUCAGCCUAAACAAGGUACCUAAGGUUUGGUAACUGAAUCUUGCGCUGUCUCUCCAUGGACCGUAACAAGAGCAUGGCUGCCUGCCUCACACAUACGUGUCUUCACCUGAAACACAAUCCUGCUCAAGCUGCCAGAAAUCUAGCUCUUCAAUAUGAAAAAUGACUCUGUCAGCAGAGACUCCUUGUAACCCACCCUGAUCAGCAACCUUCAUUGCUUUAUUGAGAUAAACUAGCAGUAUGCAACCAAGUCAUGUCAUGCAGAACAUCUAUGAAUCUGGGUUCCUAGCUUUCAACACCAUGCCAUGACCUGCCCAAGACACUCUGAGCAGGGUCCUUCUCAGUGCUGCUGCAGCCAGCUGUUGUGGAUUCAGAUCUUCUCAGAGUUUUCAGGGUCUCCACACCUUCAAACUCUAGGACUUCUCAAUCAUGAUUGAGAGGAUCAUGAUGACACCAGCUGGCACUUUUAGAAGCCUCACGCAAUACGGAGAUGUGAGAGGGACUCUUGCUGAACCUGACCAAUGAAGUCUCAGUCUUCACUUCUAAGGGAUCCUCAAUGCUUCCAGUCCUUAUUUUCCUGCAGGUUUAAAGAAAGCAGUACAAAAUAUUCUUGCAUUUGCCCCAGGCAUUCUUCCUACAGGAGCUCCAUUUCAGAGAUCAGACACAUUGAACCUGAACUACAUGAACUACAUGAACUAAAUGAACUACAUGAACUGAUAGCAAAAGAGUCAUAAGAAUUGUAGAGUGGCCAAGAAAGAAUGGAAACCACGGCAAGGAUCUCUCAUCUCUUUCUGGGAGGAUUGACAGCACAUUGCUUGUAAGAAUUUGAGCAGAAAUAAUAAAAAAUAUAAGCAAAGUAACUUCAUUAUCCAUUGUGAUUAACUCCUUCUAGUUAUCCCACACUGAUAGUUUGGGGUUUUGUUAGUUUGCUGUGUAAACUUCUAUUUGAUAUUAUUUCACAGAGACUUGUACUUUUAUUUCAGUUUGAUAAACCAGAAAACUACUUAUUUGAAAAUUAUAUUCAAUAAGUUUUUCAUCUGUCUGAUUUCAUCACGAUUGUAUUAGAAAACAGUAGGAAAAAAAAAGUCUUAUGAAGUUCAGAAUGUUGUA
Molecule: long non-coding RNA, 1563 nt
Organism: Cygnus atratus (black swan)
Lineage: Eukaryota; Metazoa; Chordata; Aves; Anseriformes; Anatidae
Exons: 4
Source: RefSeq, a predicted model, not a curated record